Molecule: long non-coding RNA, 609 nt
Organism: Vespula vulgaris
Lineage: Eukaryota; Metazoa; Arthropoda; Insecta; Hymenoptera; Vespidae
Exons: 2
Source: RefSeq, a predicted model, not a curated record
AGAAGCUGUCACCGAGCCAGGAAAAUGAAAUUCUCACUCGGGCAGUUAACUUUAGAUCGACGAAACGACGAUCUAAGAAGCUUGUACAUACACGCGACAUAUCGUCGCGUCGAGUUUGCGUUAGCGCCUGCCUGCUACUGCUGAGCGAGUCACGAGCGUAGCAUAUUAAUUUCGUUAACACGUGUUAACUGGAAAGGGACUAAUUAAUCACACGGUGGUGCUCGAUCGAUCGACGCCUUGAUAAAGAUCUCAUUUUAUCAUCAUCUAUCGAGGAGUCCAUGUGGACAAGUCGCCGAGAUGAUCAGCGUUACAAUAAUCUUGACUGUCGCAACACUUUAAUCUUGGCCAGGGCAUUCGUAUCCAAGGUCUCGUCGACGAGACACGACGAUUUUCAACGAUUUCGUCUUCCUCGUCGUCGUGAAGAGACGACGACGACGACGACGACGAUGACAACGUCGAUAGCUUUGACCUCGUGACCCAAGACUUUGUCUCGCACAACAAUGGCGUCGGGCUCCUGGAAAACGGCAAUCCAUCGUCUAUACGUACAUAAAUACAUAUGAAUAUAUACAUAUAUCACGCUAAAGAUAAAUAAACUAUAAUAUUCUGUGA